UUAUGGCUCAGGAUGAACGCUAGCUACAGGCUUAACACAUGCAAGUCGAGGGGCAGCAGGAGCUUAGCUUGCUAAGUUUGCUGGCGACCGGCGCACGGGUGAGUAACGCGUAUCCAACCUUCCCCCUAGUAGAGGAUAGCCCGGUGAAAAUCGGAUUAAUACUCUAUGUUGUUCAAUGCAGGCAUCUAAGUUGAACCAAAGAUUUAUCGCUAAGGGAUGGGGGAUGCGUCUGAUUAGGUAGUCGGCGGGGUAACGGCCCACCGAGCCAUCGAUCAGUAGGGGUUCUGAGAGGAAGGUCCCCCCACAUUGGAACUGAGACACGGUCCAAACUCCUACGGGAGGCAGCAGUGAGGAAUAUUGGUCAAUGGGCGAGAGCCCGAACCAGCCAAGUAGCGUGCCAGGAAGACGGCCCUAUGGGUUGUAAACUGCUUUUAUAUAGGGAUAAAGUGCAUCACGUGUGGUGUUUUGUAGGUACUAUAUGAAUAAGGACCGGCUAAUUCCGUGCCAGCAGCUGC
Molecule: ribosomal RNA, 515 nt
Filed under: uncultured bacterium
Lineage: Bacteria
Description: bacterial SSU rRNA
Rfam family: Bacterial small subunit ribosomal RNA
Source: RNAcentral